This 520-nucleotide ribosomal RNA is filed under the name uncultured bacterium. Its description in RNAcentral is "partial 16S ribosomal RNA". It matches the Rfam family "Bacterial small subunit ribosomal RNA", at positions 28 to 507 of the family's 1533-position model. The record is from RNAcentral.
GACGAACGCUGGCGGCGUGCCUAAUACAUGCCAGUCGAACGCACUCUCGUUUAGAUUGAAGGAGUUUGCUCCUGAUUGAUAAACAUUUGAGUGAGUGGCGGACGGGUGAGUAACACGUGGGUAACCUGCCCUAAAGUGGGGGAUAACAUUUGGAAACAGAUGCUAAUACCGCAUAAAACCUAACACCGCAUGGUGUAGGGUUGAAAGAUGGUUUCGGCUAUCACUUUAGGAUGGACCCGCGGUGCAUUAGUUAGUUGGUGAGGUAAAGGCUCACCAAGACCGUGAUGCAUAGCCGGCCUGAGAGGGUAAUCGGCCACACUGGGACUGAGACACGGCCCAGACUCCUACGGGAGGCAGCAGUAGGGAAUCUUCCACAAUGGACGAAAGUCUGGUGGAGCAACGCCGCGUGAGUGAAGAAGGUUUUCGGAUCGUAAAACUCUGUUGUUGGAGAAGAAUGUAUCUGAUAGUAACUGAUCAGGUAGUGACGGUAUCCAACCAGAAAGCCACGGCUAACUACGUG